RNAcentral lists this ribosomal RNA (433 nucleotides) under uncultured bacterium. RNAcentral describes it as "partial 16S ribosomal RNA". It matches the Rfam family "Bacterial small subunit ribosomal RNA", at positions 29 to 507 of the family's 1533-position model. The record is from RNAcentral.
AACGAACGCUGGCGGCAUGCCUAACACAUGCAAGUCGAACGAGACCUUCGGGUCUAGUGGCGCACGUGUUCGUAACGCGUGGGAACCUGCCCUUAGGUUCGGAAUAACUCCCCGAAAUGGGUGCUAAUACCGGAGAAUGUUUUCGGACCAAAGAUUUAUCGCCUUUGGAUGGGCCCGCGUUGGAUUAGCUAGUUGGUAGGGUAAAAGCCUACCAAGGCGACGAUCCAUAGCUGGUCUGAGAGGAUGAUCAGCCACACUGGGACUGAGACACGGCCCAGACUCCUACGGGAGGCAGCAGUGGGGAAUAUUGGAGAAUGGGCGCAAGCCUGAUCCAGCAAUGCCGCGUGAGUGAUGCAGGCCUUAGGGUUGUAAAGCUCUUUUACACGAGAUGAUAAUGACAGUACCGGGAGAAUAAGCUCCGGCUAACUACGUG